AGGAAAGGCACUACAACAUGUGCCACAGCCGAGCUUGCGCUAUAGUGGAGCGCACCAUCGGCCUGUUUAAGGGCAGAUGGCGCUGCCUCGACUGCACUGGAGGGAGGUUAUUGUACACGCCUGAAAAGGUGUGCCAAAUCAUGCUGGCAUGUGCUGUGCUACACAAUGUGGCACAGCUUAAAUACGUGCCUCUACCCCCUGGCGCCGAUUGCUGUGUUGGCCCCGACCCUGAACCCCAUCCCCACGCAUGUGAGCCAAAUGCUGCUGCUGUGCGCCAGCGUUUGGAAGUGAUGCGUCGCUUGUAAAGAACAACAAAAGGACUGCAUCGGUGAGGACACGUCCACUGCUGGAGGGUUGAGAGCCGCGUGCCGUGGAGACGCUGGGUCCAGACGGCUGCUCAGCUGCAGCAUCGUAACCACUGGCCCCGCUGGAACACCCAGCAACUGAAAUAAAAUUGUUCUAUAUUAAUAAACUGUAAUUGUGUAGCCUGCAUA
Long non-coding RNA from Cyprinus carpio (common carp), 494 nucleotides. RefSeq lists it as uncharacterized. Lineage: Eukaryota; Metazoa; Chordata; Actinopteri; Cypriniformes; Cyprinidae. The record is from RefSeq and is a predicted model, not a curated record.